UGGGGAAUAUUGGACAAUGGGCGAAAGCCUGAUCCAGCAAUGCCGCGUGAGUGAUGAAGGCCCUAGGGUUGUAAAGCUCUUUUACCCGGGAUGAUAAUGACAGUACCGGGAGAAUAAGCCCCGGCUAACUCCGUGCCAGCAGCCGCGGUAAUACGGAGGGGGCUAGCGUUGUUCGGAAUUACUGGGCGUAAAGCGCACGUAGGCGGCUUCCUAAGUCAGAGGUGAAAGCCCGGAGCUUAACUCCGGAAUAGCCUUUGAGACUGGGUCGCUUGAAUCCGGGAGAGGUGAGUGGAAUUCCGAGUGUAGAGGUGAAAUUCGUAGAUAUUCGGAAGAACACCAGUGGCGAAGGCGGCUCACUGGACCGGUAUUGACGCUGAGGUGCGAAAGCGUGGGGAGCAAAC
RNAcentral lists this ribosomal RNA (401 nucleotides) under uncultured bacterium. Its description in RNAcentral is "bacterial SSU rRNA". It matches the Rfam family "Bacterial small subunit ribosomal RNA", at positions 355 to 773 of the family's 1533-position model. The record is from RNAcentral.